AGAAUGGGGUCCCCAGUCUGGGGAUAAAGAUGAUUUGGGCUUGGUAUAAAACAAUACUAUAAGCUCCCAUUUAUUGAACUCUUAUGAAGUGUGAUAAGCCGUCUGAGGCUCUGAGGUAAGCUACCUCCCCAUCCCUCACGGCAAUCCUAUGAGAAAUGUCCUGCUAUCCUCGGAGACGGCCCGUUGCCGCUCAAGGUUCUGGAGCAUUCUAGUGGAGAGUGCCGACAGGAAUUGUGUUCAGGGCCUAGGGACUGGCUGGACAGCAGUGGGUGCUGAAGGUUCAGCAUGUGGGUGAGUUCACUCUGGGGGUGUGCAGAGGGGCAGAGGUGAGGUGGUGGUGCCAAGCUGAAGGAGGCCGAUCCUGAGCCAGCUCCCACUCUCAACC
Non-coding RNA from Callorhinus ursinus (northern fur seal), 385 nucleotides. The record is from RefSeq and is a predicted model, not a curated record. NCBI's taxonomy places the organism in Eukaryota, Metazoa, Chordata, Mammalia, Carnivora, Otariidae.